AAACUACUCCCUCCGUCCGGAAAUAGUUGUCAUCAAAAUGAAUAAAAAGGGGUGUAUCUAGAUGUAUUUUAAUUCUAGGUACAUCCUUUUUAUCCAUUUUGAUGACAAGUAUUUUCGGACGGAGGGAGUACUAA
Triticum aestivum (bread wheat) is the source of this 134-nucleotide non-coding RNA. The record is from Rfam. Lineage: Eukaryota; Viridiplantae; Streptophyta; Magnoliopsida; Poales; Poaceae.